This 614-nucleotide ribosomal RNA is filed under the name uncultured bacterium. RNAcentral's name for it is "bacterial SSU rRNA". It matches the Rfam family "Bacterial small subunit ribosomal RNA", at positions 8 to 638 of the family's 1533-position model. The record is from RNAcentral.
AGAGUUUGAUUCUGGCUCAGGAUGAACGCUGGCGGCGUGCCUAACACAUGCAAGUCGAACGGGAUAAGAGAUGCUUGCAUUUCUUAUCAAGUGGCGGACGGGUGAGUAACGCGUGGAUAAUCUGCCCUACACAGGGGGAUAACAGCCGGAAACGGCUGCUAAUACCGCAUAGACUGAGCUCUCGCAUGAGAGAACAGGGAAAGAUUUAUCGGUGUAGGAUGAAUCCGCGUCCGAUUAGCUAGUUGGAGGGGUAACGGCCCACCAAGGCGACGAUCGGUAGCCGGCCUGAGAGGGCGACCGGCCACAUUGGGACUGAGACACGGCCCAGACUCCUGCGGGAGGCAGCAGUGGGGAAUAUUGCACAAUGGGGGGAACCCUGAUGCAGCGACGCCGCGUGAGUGAAGAAGUAUUUCGGUAUGUAAAGCUCUAUCAGCAGGGACGAAGAUGACGGUACCUGCAGAAGAAGCCCCGGCUAACUACGUGCCAGCAGCCGCGGUAAUACGUAAGGGGCAAGCGUUAUCCGGAUUUACUGGGUGUAAAGGGAGCGUAUACGGCAUGGCAAGCCAGAAGUGAAAACGCAGAGCUUAACUUUGCGACUGCUUUUGGAACUGCCC